UGGAUAUUUGGAUUAGGGAUUGAAAGAGACAGAGAGAGGAAUUAAUCUUUAAUUAAGGUGAAUGCAAAGCUGCAAAGCUGGCGCAUAUCCUACUCAAUAAAGUCAUUAAAUUCCCUUAAAAUUCCUUCUUUGUAAACCCAAACCAGGGAAAACAACAGUGAUUUUGCAUGAAUGCAUUCAAAAGUGACACAUGCAUAAUGCAGAGAGUCCAACCAAUGAAUUAAUGCUAGGAAUCCACACAUUUUUUUCUUUUGCAAUCAUUGAUGGAAAAGUUAAGCCUCUAUUCCACAACUAAUAAUUCCUAUUUCUUUCUUCUAUUCUCCUUCAUCAACAACACUUUCAACCAACAUGGCUAUCAAUUCUUUCACCAAAUACUGCAAUUAAAAUAAACACAUUACACUGUUGUCACGCAGUUGUUAUACAUGUGUAACUCUGUUUUCCCUUUUGCCAAUAGAUUGAAUAGCACAGUAUCAUUUGAGAUACUUGAUUUCCAUUUCAUCUGAGAUGUUGUUAACUUGAAGGC
RNAcentral lists this long non-coding RNA (523 nucleotides) under Vigna radiata. RNAcentral's name for it is "long non-coding RNA (VRAD_LNC009408)". The record is from RNAcentral. Lineage: Eukaryota; Viridiplantae; Streptophyta; Magnoliopsida; Fabales; Fabaceae.